This 2907-nucleotide long non-coding RNA is filed under the name Marmota monax (woodchuck). Lineage: Eukaryota; Metazoa; Chordata; Mammalia; Rodentia; Sciuridae. The record is from RNAcentral.
AGCAGGUGCUACUGGCGUUGAGGACGUGGCUGGCUGGCCCUGAAGGCCCUGACCGCUGAGGCUGUGGUUGCUGGGCUGGUCUCCUGCAGUCCCAGUUGCUCCCUCAGCAUGAGAUGGUGUCGGCUCAGCCCUCACAAGGGGCUCAGGUGUGUCCUGGCACUUCGUCCCUUUCCACCGUCUCCCUGGAUAGCAGGCAAGGCCUGGAAGGGUUCAGUACUACAUGUGCUUGACCUCUAGGAGUUAGUGUCCCUGCACCUUGGUCUGUUGAAGCUCCAUGGAUUUGCUCAGAGCAGCAGAGGUCUGCACACUGUUGGGCCACCUCCAGCCUCCAUCAAGCAUCUCCUGUACUGGGCCCCGACCAAGAUACAGUCCUCAGGGAUUCCAAAAGCCUGUGCUCCCUCUUCCUUCUUGCAGGUGUGGCUGUCCUCCAGGCUCUGCAGGCCUGUGGCGUGGAGGACACUUACCCGGCAUCCUCCAGCCUCCCUGGUCCUCAGCCCUUCCCAGAAACCCAGGGCCCCCAUGCUGUGCAAGGGUACCUGCAGAGCACCCUGCUGUGUGUGGCAGCCUUGUGGACCCUGGCCUCUGCCUCCCACCUCCCUCUACUUUGGCCAUGGCGUGGGCUCUUGCAGCCUCCCGUGGCCACAGGUUGUCACUGGUGUUUCCUUUCUGUAGCCAAACCAAGCUCCGGUACAGGAUGGCCCUCCCCAUUCUGCAGCUCCCUGCAAGAGGCAUUUGAUUGCCACAUCUUGGAGCUUGUACCCAAAUCUCUUCAAUGGAUCGGAAAGAACUACAACUGAACGACCAAGAUCCCCGUGGAGCAGAGAAGAGCAGAUGGAGCAGAGGACGUUGCACCGCUGCCAAAUCCCAGGCAGCACCGGGUCCUACUUCCUUAUGUCUCAGACUGUGAGCCAUGUGCGUGUUGGAGCCUUGUGCUGCACCAGACGAUGUAGAAACGGAGGCCACACAGACAGGCUCCCAGGCCAGUCUGGUUAUGUCUUUGGAGCAAAGGGACUGGAAUUGCUGGGCCUGAGGGCUUUGAGUUCAGUAUGCAUUUGCCACCUCCUCACCUGGAGCCCUGACCCAUCCUGGAGCCGUUUUCUGUGAAAGAACCGAGAGCCAGUGGCAGUGGGUGGGGCUGCCUGGGGAACACUGGCUGCUCCAGAAGCCUUGGUGGGACCAGAGGGCAGCUGUUGCUGUCAGGUGGCCUUUCAUCUAGAAUAGCAGCUCAAAACACUGGAAAUGUGGGGAUGGUCAGCUGUCAGGUGCCUUGGGGGCUGAGCUCGCCCCUGGGGUCAGUCCAGAGGCUGGCAGGGCCUGUCCACGCUGCACCCUUCUGACACGCAGCUGCUUUGAGGUGGGAAGAAGCCACACCUCCUCUCCCAUUUCCUGUGUUCUGCUGGACAGGAGGGACCUGGGGUAUGUGGCUGGCUCCGCCUCAAUUGUGGGGGCUUCAUCAGACUGGAAGCCCCCUGGACGAUUCAUGUUCCUACCCCAGCUGCCCCAGGAAAGGCAGGCUCCACACUCUGGCUACAGAGCACUGCGACACACGCCACCUGCUGUUGGUGGUACCCUGGUGUAGGUUCAUCACCCGCAAAGCCUGUGCCCUGCCUCUCACAGCCACGUGUGGCUUACACUGGUCCUGGUGCUCGGGGAUGCUUGAUCUUGAGCGUUCUCUCGUAUUCGUCUACUCCGACGGCCACUUGUGCCUGUCUCUGUGACUCCAGCUGUGGCGUGGACACAGCAGAUGUUUCCUUGGCCUGGCUGCCUUGUGAGCUGCUGAGGAAUGUGCAUGGCUGGGCAGUGGCCUGGGAAUGGAGGGCAGGGCUGGCGCAGAGGACGCCGGGGCAGCCUGUUGGGCCCAGGCUGGGUGGCGAUGGCCUGUUUCCCAUGUUCUGUGGGUGUGGGCACUACCUGGCUUUGGGGCUCUGGGCGCCUGCACAUGGAUGUGGUUCAUGCUGGGCACUGGAGCUUCUGUGCUGUGGGCAUUGGUUCAAGGACGUCUGCUGCAUGCAGCCUCCUCCAGAUGCAGACAUGCGCUGCAUCGUAGGGGCAGAGGUGUGCUUGGUACAGGUGCCUGGCAGUGCCAAGGGAGAUGCCACCUGUGGACCGCAGAAGCUUGUGGGGUCACCAGUAGGUGCCUGACCUGCAUCCCCCUGCUGAGCUGGGCUCUGGCAGAACCUGAGCCUGUGGGGCAGGUGAAGGGGAGGGUCUGCCAGACACUGGGAAGCGGACGUCCUAGUCACCUCCCCAGUGGGUGUGACCCCUGAAGAGCCAGUGAUCUUGGGCUUCUAUUUCCCAGUCUGCACAAAGGCUCAGAUUCUCGCUGCCAUUUCCGGCCCCCUGCUCGGAGUACACACCAGUGUCACCAUGAGAGGCUCCACUGAGCUGGCUGUUUGUUCCUAUCAGAGCUUGUGACCACAGAAGCCCUGGCCCAGCAGGCAGGAGAGAGAGCCCUGAUGAGGUCAGCUUUGUGGUUAGGCCAGCUCAUUGGAUGACAGGUGGACGGUUGAUCAGGUCAGAUCACUGAUUUGAACAGAAUUUAGUUUUUAUUUUAAAAGUUUAAGACCAAGAGCAAAUUACUCUUCUAACUUCAGGGGCUGGGGGUACAGCUCAGUAGGUAGAGUGCUUGCCUCCCAUGCACAGGUCCUCGGUCUAAUCCCCAGCAAGGCCAAAAAAAAAAAAAAAGGGCUUUUCUAUCUUCAAAGAAGGAAUUAUCUCAAUCUUAAAAUGCUUAUUUUGAGCCAGGCACACUGGGGCACACCUAUAAACCAGAAGCCUGAGACAGGGGGAAUCACAAAUUUGAGGUCAGCUUGGGCAACUUAGUGAGACCCUGAUUCACAAUAAAAAAAUAAAAAGAGCUGGAGAUGUAGUUCAGCAAUUGAGCAGGGGUAGGAAUCGACAGUGGGU